This 372-nucleotide ribosomal RNA is filed under the name uncultured organism. RNAcentral's name for it is "partial 16S ribosomal RNA". It matches the Rfam family "Bacterial small subunit ribosomal RNA", at positions 527 to 896 of the family's 1533-position model. The record is from RNAcentral.
GUAGGUGGUAAGCGUUGUCCGGAAUUAUUGGGCGUAAAGCGCGCGCAGGGCGGUCCUUUAAGUCUGAUGUGAAAGCCCACGGCUCAACCGUGGAGGGUCAUUGGAAACUGGGGGACUUGAGUACAGAAGAGGAAAGCGGAAUUCCAAGUGUAGCGGUGAAAUGCGUAGAGAUUUGGAGGAACACCAGUGGCGAAGGCGGCUUUCUGGUCUGUAACUGACGCUGAGGCGCGAAAGCGUGGGGAGCAAACAGGAUUAGAUACCCUGGUAGUCCACGCCGUAAACGAUGAGUGCUAAGUGUUAGGGGGUUUCCGCCCCUUAGUGCUGCAGCUAACGCAUUAAGCACUCCGCCUGGGGAGUACGGCCGCAAGGCUG